Molecule: ribosomal RNA, 304 nt
Filed under: uncultured Bradyrhizobium sp.
Lineage: Bacteria; Pseudomonadati; Pseudomonadota; Alphaproteobacteria; Hyphomicrobiales; Nitrobacteraceae
Description: bacterial SSU rRNA
Rfam family: Bacterial small subunit ribosomal RNA
Source: RNAcentral
CAGAACGAACGCUGUGUUCGNAGGCCUAACACAAGCAAGUCGAGCGCCCCGCAAGGGGAGCGGCAGACGGGAGAUUACACGUGGGAACGUGCCCUUCAGUUCGGAACAACCCAAGGAAACUUGGGCUAAUACCGGAUAAGCCCUCACGGGGAAAGAUUUAUCGCCGAAAGAUCGGCCCGCGUCUGAUUAGCUAGUUGGUGAGGUAAUGGCUCACCAAGGCGACGAUCAGUAGCUGGUCUGAGAGGAUGAUCAGCCACAUUGGGACUGAGACACGGCCCAAACUCCUACGGGAGGCAGCAGUGGG